Molecule: ribosomal RNA, 116 nt
Filed under: Arius manillensis
Lineage: Eukaryota; Metazoa; Chordata; Actinopteri; Siluriformes; Ariidae
Description: partial 16S rRNA
Source: RNAcentral
GCUAUACAGCUAGCUUAACCACCUAAAUUACCAAACCAACAUUAUCCCACUUAACAAAACCACACCACCCCAAACUAAAACAUUUUACCGCCCCAGUACGUGAGACAGAAAAGGCC